UACGUAGGUGGCAAGCGUUAUCCGGAUUUACUGGGUGUAAAGGGCGUGUAGGCGGCUCUGCAAGUCAGAAGUGAAAUUCCUGGGCUCAACCCGGGCGCUGCUUCUGAAACUGCAGAACUUGAGUACUGGAGGGGAAAGCGGAAUUCCUAGUGUAGCGGUAAAAUGCGCAGAUAUUAGGAGGAACACCGGUGGCGAAGGCGGCUUUCUGGACAGUAACUGACGCUGAGGCGCGAAAGCGUGGGGAG
Molecule: ribosomal RNA, 245 nt
Filed under: uncultured Saccharofermentans sp.
Lineage: Bacteria; Bacillati; Bacillota; Clostridia; Eubacteriales; Oscillospiraceae
Description: partial 16S ribosomal RNA
Rfam family: Bacterial small subunit ribosomal RNA
Source: RNAcentral